AUUGAACGCUGGCGGCAGGCCUAACACAUGCAAGUCGAACGAGUGGCGGACGGGUGAGUAAUGUCUGGGAAAUUGCCUGAAGGCGGGGAAUAACUACUGGAAACGGUCGCUAAUACCGCAUCCCAUCAGAUGUGCCCAGAUGGGAUUAGCUUGUUGGGUGGGUAACGGCUCACCAAGGCGACGAGCCCUAGCUGGUCUGAGAGGAUGACCAGCCAAACGGGAACUGAGACACGGUCCAGACUCCUACGGGAGGCAGCAGUGGGGAAUAUUACACAAUGGGCACAAGCCUGAUGCAGCCAUGCCGCGUGUAUGAAGAGGGCCUUCGUGUUGUAAAGUACUUUCAGCGGGGAGGCGUUACCCGCAGAAGAAGCACCGGCUAACUCCGUGCCAGCAGCCGCGGUAAUUC
Molecule: ribosomal RNA, 406 nt
Filed under: uncultured bacterium
Lineage: Bacteria
Description: partial 16S ribosomal RNA
Rfam family: Bacterial small subunit ribosomal RNA
Source: RNAcentral